RNAcentral lists this ribosomal RNA (1385 nucleotides) under uncultured bacterium. Its description in RNAcentral is "partial 16S ribosomal RNA". It matches the Rfam family "Bacterial small subunit ribosomal RNA". The record is from RNAcentral.
GAGUUUGAUCCUGGCUCAGGAUGAACGCUGGCGGCGUGCUUAACACAUGCAAGUCGAACGGGGGUCAUUUUGCGGAAGUCUUCGGACGGAAGUGAUUUGACUCGAGUGGCGGACGGGUGAGUAACACGUGAGCAACCUGCCUUUUGCUGGGGAAUAACUGUGGGAAACCAUGGCUAAUACCGCAUGUUGUGCCAACUGGGCAUCCGGUUGGUAUGAAAGGAGAAAUCCGGCAGAAGAUGGGCUCGCGUCCGAUUAGGUAGUUGGUGGGGUAAUGGCUCACCAAGCCAACGAUCGGUAGCCGGACUGAGAGGUCGAACGGCCACAUUGGGACUGAGACACGGCCCAGACUCCUACGGGAGGCAGCAGUGGGGAAUAUUGGGCAAUGGGGGAAACCCUGACCCAGCGACGCCGCGUGAAGGACGAAGGCUUUCGGGUUGUAAACUUCUUUGGGGAGGGACGAAAUUGACGGUACCUCCAGAACAAGCCACGGCUAACUACGUGCCAGCAGCCGCGGUAAUACGUAGGUGGCAAGCGUUAUCCGGAUUUACUGGGUGUAAAGGGCGCGCAGGCGGUUCUGAAAGUCAGAUGUGAAAGAUCAAGGCUUAACUUUGACAGGUCAUCUGAAACUUUGGGACUUGAGUAUCAGAGGGGAAAGUGGAAUUCCUGGUGGAGCGGUAAAAUGCGCAGAGAUCAGGAGGAACACCGGUGGCGAAGGCGGCUUGCUGGGUCUUGACUGACGCUGAUGCACGAAAGCGUGGGGAGCAAACAGGAUUAGAUACCCUGGUAGUCCACGCCGUAAACGAUGAGUACUAGUUGUGGCCCAAAAGGGUCAGUGCUGAAGGUAACGCCAUUAAGUACUCCGCCCUGAGUAGUACGUGCGCAAGCAUGAACUCAAAAGAAAUGACGGGACCCCGCACAAGCGGUGGAUCAUGUUGUUAAUUCGAGGAUACACGAAAAACCUUACCAGGCCUUGACAUACUCUGCAAAGACUUAGAAAUAAGUACGGAGGUUAACAGAGAUACAGGUGGUGCACGGUUGUCGUCAGCUCGUGUCGUGAGAUGUUGGGUUAAGUCCCGCAACGAGCGCAACCCUUAUUGCUAGUUGCCAUCAUUAAGUUGGGCACUCUAGCAAGACUGCCGGUGACAAAUCGGAUGAAGGUGGGGAUGACGUCAAAUCAUCAUGCCCCUUAUGACCUGGGCUACACGCGUGCUACAAUGGCUAAUACAAAGAGUUGCAAAACCGUGAGGUAGAGCUAAUCUCAUAAAGUUAGUCUCAGUUCGGAUUGUAGUCUGCAACUCGACUACAUGAAGUUGGAAUCGCUAGUAAUCGUAAAUCAGAAUGUUACGGUGAAUACGUUCUCGAGUCUUGUACACACCGCCCGUCAA